CGCUCCACUCCACAUUAUGGAGCGGGAAAAGCUGCAUAAAAAGGAGGAAACUCAUCCCUUCGGCUUAGGGUGCGGCAGUGUGGAGACCUGUCGCAAUGCACGACCGACUUUUGCGCGGCGUGUGAGGCGGUUCGUUGGAGAAGUCCGGGACCGUUAAAGUCAAAAGCAGUAUGGCA
RNAcentral lists this non-coding RNA (176 nucleotides) under bovine gut metagenome. RNAcentral describes it as "malK-I RNA". It matches the Rfam family "malK-I RNA". The record is from RNAcentral.